Molecule: transfer RNA, 73 nt
Filed under: Fasciola gigantica
Lineage: Eukaryota; Metazoa; Platyhelminthes; Trematoda; Plagiorchiida; Fasciolidae
Rfam family: tRNA
About the family: Transfer RNA (tRNA) molecules are approximately 80 nucleotides in length. Their secondary structure includes four short double-helical elements and three loops (D, anti-codon, and T loops).
Source: Rfam by way of RNAcentral
ACAGCGAUAGCUCAGUUGGUAGAGCAUUUGCUCUGUAUGCGGAGAAAGGCUGGUUUGAUUCCGGCUUGCUGAG